This 106-nucleotide small nuclear RNA is filed under the name Metschnikowia bicuspidata var. bicuspidata NRRL YB-4993. Lineage: Eukaryota; Fungi; Ascomycota; Pichiomycetes; Serinales; Metschnikowiaceae. The record is from RNAcentral.
ACUAUCGUUCGAAAUGGUACAUAUGUCAUCUUUAACAAUACAGAGACGAUUGGCAUUGUCCUUGCAUACAGAUGACACGCUAUACAAAGAUUUAAAAAAAAAUUAU